CCAUCAGAUUCCAUAUCUAAAAUAAGAAAGUCUACUGGAAAGUAGAAUUCACCUACUUUGACAAGCACAUCCCUUAUCAUCCCAUACGGUACCUUAACAGAUCUAUCGGCUAAUUGUAGGGUAAUCAACAUGGAUUUCAAUUCUCCAAAAUCAAAGAGUUCGUACACUGAACUCGGGAGAAGGUUAACACUUGCCUCCAAAUCUAAUAGAGCUUUAUUAAUGGUCAGGUCCUCUAUUACGCACGAGAUGAUUGGGGU
This 257-nucleotide long non-coding RNA is filed under the name Elaeis guineensis (African oil palm). Its description in RNAcentral is "long non-coding RNA (EGUI_LNC030558)". The record is from RNAcentral. Lineage: Eukaryota; Viridiplantae; Streptophyta; Magnoliopsida; Arecales; Arecaceae.